AUUUUUUAAAUUGUAAAUAUCUCAUUGUAUUAACAAUGUUCUUAUGUUUAUACAAAAAAAAUAUACAAAAAUAUUUAGUCUGCAUGUGGUUUAAUGAAACCAAUGCGACAAAAGGAUGUCACAUUAUUUGUAUUGUAUGCAAAAAUAAGUUGGUAAACAAGUGUAUACAUUUAAAUUUAAAUGCUGCUGAGUUGCAUGCAAGUAUGAAAAAUAUUGUUACAAGAUACAUAACUGGUUUAUGGUAUUUAAACACGGGGAAAAUCAGAACUUAAGUAAAACCCCCAUUACAAUAAACAAACUUGAAUCAACUAACAUAGAAAACACAUGGUAUUGUUUUUAUUUACAAACGUCACAUGAUAGCAAUAUCACGUGGUAUUGUUUAUAUGUACACUCAUCACGUGACUGUGUCAAUACACACUUGCGAUAUUAUGAAGUCCAACAAACUAGGUCAUUUAAAUUAAGAACAGAGUUAACAAUAAACGAAAGGUACGUUAGCGGAAAAAAUAAAAACAGAAAGAACAAACAAAUAAUGAAUGAAAAUAAAAAAAUAAACAAACUUACAUUACACACAAAUGGCUCCUAAACCACUUCACAUAUGUUCUGUAAACACUCAAGGUUUACUGCAAUCUGAAAAAAGAAAAAGAUUAUUUGAGUGGUGCAAACAGCAAAAAUGUCAAAUUUUAAUGAUGCAAGAAACACAUUUUACCAGAAGUAUGAAUGACAAUUUAAAUAAUGACUUACCUGGAGAAAUCUUUCAUAGUUGGGGUAGUAGCGCAUCAAGGGGUGUAGCAAUUUGGUUCACAAAAC
This 807-nucleotide long non-coding RNA is filed under the name Mytilus galloprovincialis (Mediterranean mussel). The record is from RNAcentral. Lineage: Eukaryota; Metazoa; Mollusca; Bivalvia; Mytilida; Mytilidae.